Molecule: ribosomal RNA, 771 nt
Filed under: uncultured Neocallimastigales
Lineage: Eukaryota; Fungi; Neocallimastigomycota; Neocallimastigomycetes; Neocallimastigales
Description: partial large subunit ribosomal RNA
Rfam family: Eukaryotic large subunit ribosomal RNA
Source: RNAcentral
UCAGACGAUGCGUCAUGCAUAUCAAUAAGCGGAGGAAAAGAAACUAACAAGGAUUCCCUCAGUAACGGCGAGUGAAGCGGGAAGAGCUCAAAUUUGAAAUCUUGAAAGGUCACCUUUCACGAAUUGUAGUUUAAAGAAGUGUUUUCUGUUACGAUCGUAAUAUAAGUUCUUUGGAAUAGGACAUCACAGAGGGUGAGAAUCCCGUCUAUGAUUGCGAUUUGUAGCUUUGUGAUACACUUUCAAAGAGUCGGGUUGUUUGGGAAUGCAGCCCAAAACGGGAGGUAAAUUUCUUCUAAGGCUAAAUAUUGGCGAGAGACCGAUAGCGAACAAGUACCGUGAGGGAAAGAUGAAAAGAACUUUGAAAAGAGAGUUAAAUAGUACGUGAAAUUGUCAAAAGGGAAGCGUUUAACACCAGUGUUGUUUUCUGAAAAUCAACCUCUGUUAGCUUUAUGCAUGUUUGUUUAGACCUAAUCAGCUAUCUUGCAUGUUCUAUUGUUUGCAGUGGUGCACUUUUCAGUUUACAGGUCAACAUCAGUUUUUUUUACCGUAAAAAAGUUAAAGAAAGGUAGCUCAUGGCUCCGGUCGUGAGUGUUAUAGUCUUCUUCCUAUGCGGUAGGAGAGACUGAGGUCUGCAGUGUAGGCUAUUUGGCUAGAUACUCAGGUGCUAUGUGAUACCAUUUCAUAAACAACUUGUUGAUUAUGUUUUGUCUAUUGCAUACUCGCUUGUACUAUCAUACCUACGCUUAGGAUGUUGAAGACUCUACAGAGAUA